CAGAGAGUUGAUCCUGGCUAGGAUGAACGCUAGCUACAGGCUUAACACAUGCAAGUCGAGGGGCAGCAUAACGAAAGCUUGCUUUGUUGAUGGCGACCGGCGCACGGGUGAGUAACGCGUAUCCAACCUUCCCUAUACUAGAGAAUAGCCCGGCGAAAGUCGGAUUAAUGCUCAUGUUCUUCUUUGAUGGCAUCUGACGAGAAGCAAAGGUUUACCGGUAUAGGAUGGGGAUGCGUCUGAUUAGGUUGUUGGCGGGUAACGGCCCACCAAGCCUACGAUCAGUAGGGGUCUGAGAGGAAGGUCCCCCACAUUGGUACUGAGACACGGACCAAACUCCUACGGGAGGCAGCAGUGAGGAAUAUUGGUCAAUGGGCGAGAGCCUGAACCAGCCAAGUAGCGUGCCAGGAUGACUGCCCUAUGGGUUGUAAACUGCUUUUAUGCGGGAAUAAAGUCAGGUACGUGUACCUGUUUGUAUGUACCGCAUGAAUAAGGACCGGCUAAUUCCGUGCCAGCCGCGGC
This 519-nucleotide ribosomal RNA is filed under the name uncultured bacterium. Its description in RNAcentral is "bacterial SSU rRNA". It matches the Rfam family "Bacterial small subunit ribosomal RNA", at positions 1 to 518 of the family's 1533-position model. The record is from RNAcentral.